CCAUGCAGUGGGAAGGAAAGCAGAGGCUCUCUGAAGGCAAAAUGAAGAGCUGUGACAAUGAAAAGGAAGAUCUGGGUGAAUAUUUCCGUACCAUAGGAGCCAUGGAAAGAGGCUCCGAGUGCUCAUCUGGGAACCACCUGGUUGGUUCAAGAGAAAUGAAGGACGCAGUCAUUGCUCGGCAUGGUAAUAUGCAGCAGGGAGUCAGAUGACUUGGUCAAUUGUGUCGUUUCCC
Gymnogyps californianus (California condor) is the source of this 232-nucleotide long non-coding RNA. RefSeq lists it as uncharacterized. NCBI's taxonomy places the organism in Eukaryota, Metazoa, Chordata, Aves, Accipitriformes, Cathartidae. The record is from RefSeq and is a predicted model, not a curated record. The transcript has 3 exons.